GUUGAGGCCCCGAGGCGCAACGAGAGUGAAGGCCGGCUGCGGUCCGGCCGAGGCGGGAUCCGGCCCCCAGGGGGCCGGCGCACCGCCGCCCUGCCACGAGCCCCCGCGGCUGUGGCGGAGGAAGAGCGGGCACGCUAGGAUAUGCCCGAGCAGGACGAAGCCAGAGGAAACUCUGGUGGAGGUCCGCAGCGAUUCUGACGUGCAAAUCGAUCGUCCGACUUGGGUAUAGGGGCGAAAGACUAAUCCAACCGUCUA
This 255-nucleotide ribosomal RNA is filed under the name Asterias forbesi (Forbes's starfish). Its description in RNAcentral is "partial 28S large subunit ribosomal RNA". It matches the Rfam family "Eukaryotic large subunit ribosomal RNA", at positions 700 to 946 of the family's 3401-position model. Lineage: Eukaryota; Metazoa; Echinodermata; Asteroidea; Forcipulatida; Asteriidae. The record is from RNAcentral.